RNAcentral lists this ribosomal RNA (460 nucleotides) under uncultured bacterium. RNAcentral describes it as "partial 16S ribosomal RNA". It matches the Rfam family "Bacterial small subunit ribosomal RNA", at positions 338 to 795 of the family's 1533-position model. The record is from RNAcentral.
CCUACGGGAGGCAGCAGUGAGGAAUAUUGGUCAAUGGACGAGAGUCUGAACCAGCCAAGUAGCGUGAAGGAUGACUGCCCUAUGGGUUGUAAACUUCUUUUAUAUGGGAAUAAAAUGUUCCACGUGUGGGAUUUUGUAUGUACCAUAUGAAUAAGGAUCGGCUAACUCAGUGCCAGCAGCCGCGGUAAUACGGAGGAUCCGAGCGUUAUCCGGAUUUAUUGGGUUUAAAGGGAGCGUAGGUGGUUUGUUAAGUAAGUUGUGAAAGUUUGCGGCUCAACCGUAAAAUUGCAGUUGAAACUGGCAGGCUUGAGUACAGUAGAGGGGGGCGGAAUUCGAGGUGUAGCGGUGAAAUGCGUAGAGAUCACGAAGAACACCGAUUGCGAAGGCAGUUCACUGGACGACAACUGACACUGAGGCGCGAAAGUGUGGGUAUCAAACAGGAUUAGAUACCCAUGUAGUC